CACGUAGGGUGCGAGCGUUGUCCGGAAUUAUUGGGCGUAAAGAGCUCGUAGGCGGUGUGUCGCGUCGGCCGUGAAAACCUGCAGCUUAACCGUGGGCGUGCGGUCGAUACGGGCAUCACUGGAGUUCGGCAGGGGAGACUGGAAUUCCUGGUGUAGCGGUGAAAUGCGCAGAUAUCAGGAAGAACACCCGUGGCGAAGGCGGCUCGCUGGGACGGUACUGACGCUGAGACGCGAAAGCGUGGGGAGCGAACAGG
This 254-nucleotide ribosomal RNA is filed under the name uncultured bacterium. Its description in RNAcentral is "partial 16S ribosomal RNA". It matches the Rfam family "Bacterial small subunit ribosomal RNA", at positions 524 to 776 of the family's 1533-position model. The record is from RNAcentral.